UAAAUAUUUACAAUUAAAUAUAAUGUGUAAAGGGUGCUGUGUAUUAUUCAAUAAAUAUUUUGGUGUUGAAAUGACUGCCUUAUCAGUAUUUCUCAAAUUAUGCAAUUUUUGGCUUAGACACAGCAUGGUAUCAGAUAAGAGAAUAGCCAGUCCCUAUCAGUCCUCCAUCUAAGCCUAACUAAGGGGUGUUGAUAUACUUUUGAUUUGUUCAGGCACCAUCUAUUUGAGAACAAGCAGCAUCAGCAACUGACUUUAAGCUAGAAUUAAGACUUAUUAUUCAAGUGUAAAAUGUCUUGAAAUACUUUCAGCAUGAAGUAUUGUGUGAUGAAAAAAAUGUGUAUUUACUACAAUGUGUAAAUCAACAAUAAAGGAGAUUAAAAGUGGGUGGUUAAAGACAUAUAAAGUGAUAUGGUCUAGUUCAACAACUGCCUGUAUUUUUGGAAUACUGAAGAACAGUCUGUUGUAACAGGUUAAACCCCAUGGAAAGAAUGUGCAUCAUCGCAUCGCCUGCCAAAAAAAGGAGCAAAAGAGAGACUACCUGAUGUAUGGACUUGAAUACCAGGUUUUACCCUGCACAAGCUGGCCGACAUGAGGAGAACAGGAGUGGGAAAACCGCGCCCUCUCCUUGACCAAGAAAAGCUGAGUUUGUUUAGAGGACCUGAUCAAAUGAGAAUAUGCACGAGACGCAUCGCGCAAAGGCCAUGACAGUAUAAUAGUUGCAAAGAAGUUUGACCGGCUGGUGGCAGACUUGGAGAGAAAGAUGAGAGCUGCACUCCGCUGCCUCAAAGAAAUGCUGAAAGGCCUUGAUUGAUAUGCAUCUUUCUUAUGUAUAUAGCUGUUCGUGUGUAUAUACUGUACAUGUUAUUAUAGUAUGCUAUUAUUUUUUGUUUUUUUAUAAUCAAAUUAUGUUUAUAUUUAUUUCAUCAAAUUGCCAUUGAUAUUUAAUUACUCAUGUAUGUUAAAAAAUGUUGGUGUACAUUAAAGUAUAAAAUUGAA
Molecule: long non-coding RNA, 996 nt
Organism: Dreissena polymorpha
Lineage: Eukaryota; Metazoa; Mollusca; Bivalvia; Myida; Dreissenidae
Exons: 3
Source: RefSeq, a predicted model, not a curated record